GCCAAAUAGCUAGCUUAACCAAUAAAACUAAAAAACCAACAUUAUUCAACUUUACAAAACUAAACAAAAAUAAAUAAAACAUUCUUCCACCCUAGUAUGGGCGACAGAAAAGGAAUUAAUAAGCAAUACAAAAA
Molecule: ribosomal RNA, 134 nt
Filed under: Denticeps clupeoides (denticle herring)
Lineage: Eukaryota; Metazoa; Chordata; Actinopteri; Clupeiformes; Denticipitidae
Description: partial 16S ribosomal RNA
Source: RNAcentral